CAAGCAGCGGAGCAUGUGGUUUUAAUUCGAAGCAACGCGAAGAACCUUACCAGGGCUUUGACAUGCCGCUGACCGGUUUUAGAGAUAGACCUUUAUCCUUCGGGGUACAGCGGACACAGGUGUGCAUGGUUGUCGUCAGCUCGUGUCGUGAGAUGUUGGGUUAAGUCCCGCAACGAGCGCAACCCUUGUCUUUAGUUGCCAUCAUUAAGUUGGGCACUCUAAAGAGACUGCCGAUGACAAAUCGGAGGAAGGUGGGGAUGACGUCAAAUCAUCAUGCCCUUUAUGUCCUGGGCUACACACGUGCUACAAUGGUCGGUACAACGAGAAGCAAGCCAGCGAUGGCAAGCAAAUCUCUAAAAGCCGAUCCCAGUUCGGAUUGCAGGCUGCAACUCGCCUGCAUGAAGUCGGAGUUGCUAGUAAUCGCGGAUCAGAAUGCCGCGGUGAAUGCGUUCCCGGGUCUU
Molecule: ribosomal RNA, 461 nt
Filed under: uncultured Eubacteriales bacterium
Lineage: Bacteria; Bacillati; Bacillota; Clostridia; Eubacteriales
Description: bacterial SSU rRNA
Rfam family: Bacterial small subunit ribosomal RNA
Source: RNAcentral